This 492-nucleotide ribosomal RNA is filed under the name uncultured bacterium. RNAcentral describes it as "partial 16S ribosomal RNA". It matches the Rfam family "Bacterial small subunit ribosomal RNA", at positions 29 to 507 of the family's 1533-position model. The record is from RNAcentral.
AGUGAACGCUGGCGGUAGGCCUAACACAUGCAAGUCGAACGGCAGCACAGUAAGAGCUUGCUCUUACGGGUGGCGAGUGGCGGACGGGUGAGGAAUACAUCGGAAUCUACUUUUUCGUGGGGGUUAACGUAGGGAAACUUACGCUAAUACCGCAUACGACCUACGGGUGAAAGCAGGGGAUCUUCGGACCUUGCGCGAUUGAAUGAGCCGAUGUCGGAUUAGCUAGUUGGCGGGGUAAAGGCCCACCAAGGCGGCGAUCCGUAGCUGGUCUGAGAGGAUGAUCAGCCACACUGGAGCUGAGACACGGUCCAGACUCCUACGGUAGGCAGCAGUGGGGAAUAUUGGACAAUGGGCGCAAGCCUGAUCCAGCCAUACCGCGUGGGUGAAGAAGGCCUUCGGGUUGUAAAGCCCUUUUGUUGGGAAAGAAAAGCAGCAGGUUAAUACCCCGCUGUUCUGACGGUACCCAAAGAAUAAGCACCGGCUAACUUCGUG